RNAcentral lists this ribosomal RNA (300 nucleotides) under Triticum aestivum (bread wheat). RNAcentral describes it as "partial small subunit ribosomal RNA". The record is from RNAcentral. Lineage: Eukaryota; Viridiplantae; Streptophyta; Magnoliopsida; Poales; Poaceae.
AUGACAAUUUAUCGUGCACUUGGACAUCUCCGAGAAGAGUACAGGGCCGAGCUCGACCCAUCAGACCUUGCCAUGAUUUCUCACAGAGCUAGGAAUGGAGAUAUCAUCCGUACCGUGGAGGAUGACUCCAUUCUUUCAUAUGUCCAAGACUUGGAGAGUCACAUCAGGAACCAGGAAAUCCAGACGUGUCGAAGCUCGAAGGUACAUAGGAGUCUGCUAUUCUAUGAACUGGAACUGGAGGAGAAGGCACGCGCGGACUUCCUUGAACAUGAAGAAGAAGUCAAGGAUUUUUAUGGAUAG